CCUACGGGGGGCAGCAGUAGGGAAUAUUGCUCAAUGGGGGAAACCCUGAAGCAGCAACGCCGCGUGAAGGAAGAAGGCUUUCGGGUUGUAAACUUCUUUUGACAGGGAAGAGCAGAAGACGGUACCUGUCGAAUAAGCCACGGCUAACUACGUGCCAGUAGCCGCGGUAAUACGUAGGUGGCAAGCGUUGUCCGGAUUUACUGGGUGUAAAGGGCGUGUAGCCGGGCUGACAAGUCAGAUGUGAAAUCCGGGGGUUCAACCCCCGAACUGCAUUUGAAACUGUUGGUCUUGAGUAUCGGAGAGGC
This 305-nucleotide ribosomal RNA is filed under the name uncultured bacterium. RNAcentral's name for it is "bacterial SSU rRNA". It matches the Rfam family "Bacterial small subunit ribosomal RNA", at positions 338 to 658 of the family's 1533-position model. The record is from RNAcentral.